GGGCCAUUAGCUCAGUUGGUUAGAGUAGAAGACUCAUAAUCUUUUGGUCGAUGGUUCGAGCCCAUCAUGGCCCACCA
RNAcentral lists this transfer RNA (77 nucleotides) under Pedobacter sp. Its description in RNAcentral is "tRNA-Met". It matches the Rfam family "tRNA". From Rfam's summary of the family: Transfer RNA (tRNA) molecules are approximately 80 nucleotides in length. Their secondary structure includes four short double-helical elements and three loops (D, anti-codon, and T loops). The record is from RNAcentral. RNAcentral also lists the same sequence under 2 other names. Lineage: Bacteria; Pseudomonadati; Bacteroidota; Sphingobacteriia; Sphingobacteriales; Sphingobacteriaceae.